RNAcentral lists this long non-coding RNA (220 nucleotides) under Elaeis guineensis (African oil palm). RNAcentral describes it as "long non-coding RNA (EGUI_LNC051868)". The record is from RNAcentral. Lineage: Eukaryota; Viridiplantae; Streptophyta; Magnoliopsida; Arecales; Arecaceae.
CGGAGAUCUAUCCCACCCCUUUCCCGCCAGGGUUGGGACUUCGAAAACAGAAUGAGGCGAGAUGGGGCGAGAGCUGUUACACACACUGGAGAACGCGACUGAGAAGGAUAGAGACAGAGAGAGGAGUUCAUAGCGGCCUCCGGUUCGUCCUGCCCGAACCGUGCUUGCGAGACUUGUAUCUUCUUUUUCUCUCUUUUUUUUUCUAACCCACCAGGUCCUG